UAGCCCACUGGGUGUCUGCCUCAUUUUACUCAGCCCCUAUUCAAGAUGGAGUUACUCUGGUUCACACACCUCUGACAUGACCUCCAACAAGUUGUGAACAUUGUGGUAACUUUGUGAGACAAGCCUCAAAUUUUACCACUGUACCAAGAAAUGAAAGCCAGAAUGUGGAAUUGGAGCUGGUAAUGACGACGUCAGGACAGGUUCAAAGGAAGCCCAUCACUUGAGUAAAAAUUUAUAGCCCUGCUUGUGCUGUGCUGUGCUGUGCUGUGAGUUUCAGUUCCGGGCCAGCAAAAGAUUUAUCAAAGGAAAGCAACAAGGUGUGUGGAAAUAGAAGGUAAGAAAAAUUAAUUUCAGAGAGGAAAAUAAAGUUGCUUGAGGGGCUCUUCAAUGACCAAAGGCCAUAAGAGACUGGAAGGCAAAAGGACCCAUUAAUGUAAUCCAAACAUCAGUCUCCUGCAGCAAAGAGGUGAAUGGAGAAGGGUGGAGAGUAGCUGUGGACGAGUGAAAAAGACAUCGCACCAUGUCUUCAAAUUACAUCCAGCAACUUCAUAUGAACUAUGAAACCCUUGUUGCCACAAUAGUCCCUCUUUGUUUGAACUACUACAAGAAUAAAGAAAUUUCUUUCUAAUCUUUUGCAGAAGAAUUACAUAGACUCUCACUUACUGCUCUUGUUUCAUAGGUGGCUGAUUUUCCAAUUAUAUUAAAUACUUUUGGAAGGGCUGGGACUACAUCUAAUUUCUUGAAAAGUCUGGUGCUGUGGAAGACCAAGACCCAGACUGUUGAGGUCAGCCUAAUGUAAUGUGAAAUAUCUAAACUCUGCGUACUUCUUUACCAUGAGUGUAUAGAUAAAAUAUCAUUGCAUUUAAGGAAAUUGCUUAAAGCCUCACAGUGAAUAAA
Molecule: long non-coding RNA, 897 nt
Filed under: Homo sapiens (human)
Lineage: Eukaryota; Metazoa; Chordata; Mammalia; Primates; Hominidae
Description: HSALNT0359839
Source: RNAcentral